AUAGCGGUGAGGUUCCACCUCUUCCCAUUCCGAACAGAGAAGUUAAGCUCACCAGCGCCAAUGGUACUGCACACAAGCGGGAGAGUAGGUCGUCGCCGAUU
Molecule: ribosomal RNA, 101 nt
Filed under: Bacteroidota bacterium
Lineage: Bacteria; Pseudomonadati; Bacteroidota
Source: RNAcentral